Non-coding RNA from Paramuricea clavata, 531 nucleotides. The record is from the annotation of a GenBank genome assembly. NCBI's taxonomy places the organism in Eukaryota, Metazoa, Cnidaria, Anthozoa, Malacalcyonacea, Plexauridae.
GCGACUAAAGGCUACACAAGCGUUCUGUCGUUAUCGGAAAAUGUAUGGCUUAUAAGUUGUCAUUACUCAUUAGUGAAUGCGCGUAUACAUGAAACUGUUUUUUACAGUUUCAGUAUUAGUUUGUAAAUCUCUGAAUGGUAAAACUUGCCAAUACUCCAAUAAUACGUUUCAAAAAAAGACAAAAAAGCUUUAGUUUUGAAGUGUUAAAUUCUCAAACGUGUAAGGCAAUAAUAAGAUGAAAGUAUCACGAAAUUAUUUGAAUAAACCACAUCGCAUAUAUGGGGGGCGAAUGUCCUAAAGAGGAGCGAUAUUCCUAGGGUAUUCGCCCCACCCCCCUGGGAGGCGAUAUUCCUAGGAUAUUCGCCCCCGGGGGCGAUAUUCCUAGGAAUAUCGCCACGUUUUGAGGGGGGGGGGGGCGAAUUUCCUGGGAGGGGCGACCUUUUUAAAAAUUCUAUCUUGCCCCCCCCAAAAUUUGAGUUUGCCCCUCAAAUGCCCCCCCAAAUUUGGAAGCCUGGCGCCGCCACUGGCUAU